Ostrea edulis (European flat oyster) is the source of this 498-nucleotide long non-coding RNA. RefSeq lists it as uncharacterized. The record is from RefSeq and is a predicted model, not a curated record. NCBI's taxonomy places the organism in Eukaryota, Metazoa, Mollusca, Bivalvia, Ostreida, Ostreidae. The transcript has 2 exons.
GAUGUUGCACUCUCUGAAAUUGCUGACGAUGAUAGCAUCAAUUUACCUGGAAUUCGGGACGCCAGAAGAAGAAUGUUAACAAAUAAACUAUAAAUUAUUAGCCUACCAGCCAAUCAAAAAUGUGUAUGUAUAGUAUAAAUGCGAAGCAGUUUACCACCAAAUUAAGCAGAGAAACGUUUGUUCCCUGUACCAUUAUUGCAACUUCGAUUUCUAAAGAUGUACAUAAGAGCUUUGCUUGUUCUGGUGUGCCUCCUCUCGUUGAUGAUUGCGGACCACCCUGCCCAAAGUUUAGGUGCUUGUGGGACAUCUGAUGUUUGUUCAGGAUGCAUAUUGCAAUGCAAGGCGAAGGGAUACUGGACUGGCUCAUGCAGACAAAUGUUUAGUUGCCCAAAGGGAACAAAAUACCGAUGCAGUUGUUUGAGAAGACGUCAUUGAUGUAAAACAGAAACCCAAGAGCAAGAAGUGACAACUUAUGAAAUAAAUCGUUAGCAAUGCAGA